GGCUAUAUCAAAUUGAAACACCAGUACUUGUAUGAUCACCAAAGUUAAGCAACAUCAAGCUUGGUCAGUACCUAGAUGGAUGACCACUUGGGAAUACCAGGUGCUGUAA
This is a non-coding RNA of Acanthosepion pharaonis, 109 nucleotides long. Lineage: Eukaryota; Metazoa; Mollusca; Cephalopoda; Sepiida; Sepiidae. The record is from the annotation of a GenBank genome assembly.